UUGGAGGGCAAGUCUGGUGCCAGCAGCCGCGGUAAUUCCAGCUCCAAUAGCGUAUAUUAAAGUUGUUGCAGUUAAAAAGCUCGUAGUUGAAUUUCGGGGUUAGUAGGUUGGUCAUGCCUCUGGUAUGUACUGGUCUCACUGAUUCCUCCUUCCUGAUGAGCCGUAAUGCCAUUAAUUUGGUGUUGCGGGGAAUUUGGACUGUUACUUUGAAAAAAUUAGAGUGUUUAAAGCAAGCUAACGCUUGAAUACAUUAGCAUGGAAUAAUGAAAUAGGACGUUCGAUCCUAUUUUGUUGGUUUCUAGGAUUGACGUAAUGAUUAAUAGGGAUAGUUGGGGGCAUUAGUAUUCAAUUGUCAGAGGUGAAAUUCUUGGAUUUAUUGAAGACUAACUACUGCGAAAGCAUUUGCCAAGGAUGUUUUCAUUAAUCAAGAACGAAAGUUAGGGGAUCGAAGACGAUCAGAUACCGUCGUAGUCUUAACCAUAAACUAUGCCGACUAGGGAUCGGAUGAUGUUAAUUUUUUAAUGACUCAUUUGGCGCCUUACGGGAAAC
This 549-nucleotide ribosomal RNA is filed under the name uncultured Glomeromycotina. Its description in RNAcentral is "SSU rRNA". It matches the Rfam family "Eukaryotic small subunit ribosomal RNA", at positions 548 to 1098 of the family's 1831-position model. The record is from RNAcentral. Lineage: Eukaryota; Fungi; Glomeromycota.